This 23-nucleotide microRNA is filed under the name Petromyzon marinus (sea lamprey). RNAcentral's name for it is "pma-miR-4571-3p". Lineage: Eukaryota; Metazoa; Chordata; Hyperoartia; Petromyzontiformes; Petromyzontidae. The record is from miRBase by way of RNAcentral.
UGUGUGUGCAGUAUAUUACAUUU